CCGUGGUGUAGCGGCAACACGCAAUCUUCUAAUAACAUAAUCGGAUAUGGAUUUGAGAUUGAGUCCGGGGUUCGACCCCCCGAGG
This is a non-coding RNA of Mycena latifolia, 85 nucleotides long. The record is from the annotation of a GenBank genome assembly. NCBI's taxonomy places the organism in Eukaryota, Fungi, Basidiomycota, Agaricomycetes, Agaricales, Mycenaceae.